Molecule: ribosomal RNA, 497 nt
Filed under: uncultured bacterium
Lineage: Bacteria
Description: partial 16S ribosomal RNA
Rfam family: Bacterial small subunit ribosomal RNA
Source: RNAcentral
GAUGAACGCUGGCGGCGUGCCUAAUACAUGCAAGUCGAGCGAACAGAUAAGGAGCUUGCUCCUUUGACGUUAGCGGCGGACGGGUGAGUAACACGUGGGUAACCUACCUAUAAGACUGGGAUAACUUCGGGAAACCGGAGCUAAUACCGGAUAAUAUUUCGAACCGCAUGGUUCGAUAGUGGAAGAUGGUUUUGCUAUCACUUAUAGAUGGACCCGCGCCGUAUUAGCUAGUUGGUAAGGUAACGGCUUACCAAGGCGACGAUACGUAGCCGACCUGAGAGGGUGAUCGGCCACACUGGAACUGAGACACGGUCCAGACUCCUACGGGAGGCAGCAGUAGGGAAUCUUCCGCAAUGGGCGAAAGCCUGACGGAGCAACGCCGCGUGAGUGAUGAAGGUCUUCGGAUCGUAAAACUCUGUUAUUAGGGAAGAACAUACGUGUACGUAACUGUGCACGUCUUGACGGUACCUAAUCAGAAAGCCACGGCUAACUACGUG